RNAcentral lists this ribosomal RNA (2179 nucleotides) under Staphylococcus aureus. RNAcentral describes it as "partial 23S ribosomal RNA". It matches the Rfam family "Bacterial large subunit ribosomal RNA", at positions 214 to 2393 of the family's 2925-position model. The record is from RNAcentral. Lineage: Bacteria; Bacillati; Bacillota; Bacilli; Caryophanales; Staphylococcaceae.
AGGAAGAGAAAGAAAAUUCGAUUCCCUUAGUAGCGGCGAGCGAAACGGGAAGAGCCCAAACCAACAAGCUUGCUUGUUGGGGUUGUAGGACACUCUAUACGGAGUUACAAAGGACGACAUUAGACGAAUCAUCUGGAAAGAUGAAUCAAAGAAGGUAAUAAUCCUGUAGUCGAAAAUGUUGUCUCUCUUGAGUGGAUCCUGAGUACGACGGAGCACGUGAAAUUCCGUCGGAAUCUGGGAGGACCAUCUCCUAAGGCUAAAUACUCUCUAGUGACCGAUAGUGAACCAGUACCGUGAGGGAAAGGUGAAAAGCACCCCGGAAGGGGAGUGAAAUAGAACCUGAAACCGUGUGCUUACAAGUAGUCAGAGCCCGUUAAUGGGUGAUGGCGUGCCUUUUGUAGAAUGAACCGGCGAGUUACGAUUUGAUGCAAGGUUAAGCAGUAAAUGUGGAGCCGUAGCGAAAGCGAGUCUGAAUAGGGCGUUUAGUAUUUGGUCGUAGACCCGAAACCAGGUGAUCUACCCUUGGUCAGGUUGAAGUUCAGGUAACACUGAAUGGAGGACCGAACCGACUUACGUUGAAAAGUGAGCGGAUGAACUGAGGGUAGCGGAGAAAUUCCAAUCGAACCUGGAGAUAGCUGGUUCUCUCCGAAAUAGCUUUAGGGCUAGCCUCAAGUGAUGAUUAUUGGAGGUAGAGCACUGUUUGGACGAGGGGCCCCUCUCGGGUUACCGAAUUCAGACAAACUCCGAAUGCCAAUUAAUUUAACUUGGGAGUCAGAACAUGGGUGAUAAGGUCCGUGUUCGAAAGGGAAACAGCCCAGACCACCAGCUAAGGUCCCAAAAUAUAUGUUAAGUGGAAAAGGAUGUGGCGUUGCCCAGACAACUAGGAUGUUGGCUUAGAAGCAGCCAUCAUUUAAAGAGUGCGUAAUAGCUCACUAGUCGAGUGACACUGCGCCGAAAAUGUACCGGGGCUAAACAUAUUACCGAAGCUGUGGAUUGUCCUUUGGACAAUGGUAGGAGAGCGUUCUAAGGGCGUUGAAGCAUGAUCGUAAGGACAUGUGGAGCGCUUAGAAGUGAGAAUGCCGGUGUGAGUAGCGAAAGACGGGUGAGAAUCCCGUCCACCGAUUGACUAAGGUUUCCAGAGGAAGGCUCGUCCGCUCUGGGUUAGUCGGGUCCUAAGCUGAGGCCGACAGGCGUAGGCGAUGGAUAACAGGUUGAUAUUCCUGUACCACCUAUAAUCGUUUUAAUCGAUGGGGGGACGCAGUAGGAUAGGCGAAGCGUGCGAUUGGAUUGCACGUCUAAGCAGUAAGGCUGAGUAUUAGGCAAAUCCGGUACUCGUUAAGGCUGAGCUGUGAUGGGGAGAAGACAUUGUGUCUUCGAGUCGUUGAUUUCACACUGCCGAGAAAAGCCUCUAGAUAGAAAAUAGGUGCCCGUACCGCAAACCGACACAGGUAGUCAAGAUGAGAAUUCUAAGGUGAGCGAGCGAACUCUCGUUAAGGAACUCGGCAAAAUGACCCCGUAACUUCGGGAGAAGGGGUGCUCUUUAGGGUUAACGCCCAGAAGAGCCGCAGUGAAUAGGCCCAAGCGACUGUUUAUCAAAAACACAGGUCUCUGCUAAACCGUAAGGUGAUGUAUAGGGGCUGACGCCUGCCCGGUGCUGGAAGGUUAAGAGGAGUGGUUAGCUUCUGCGAAGCUACGAAUCGAAGCCCCAGUAAACGGCGGCCGUAACUAUAACGGUCCUAAGGUAGCGAAAUUCCUUGUCGGGUAAGUUCCGACCCGCACGAAAGGCGUAACGAUUUGGGCACUGUCUCAACGAGAGACUCGGUGAAAUCAUAGUACCUGUGAAGAUGCAGGUUACCCGCGACAGGACGGAAAGACCCCGUGGAGCUUUACUGUAGCCUGAUAUUGAAAUUCGGCACAGCUUGUACAGGAUAGGUAGGAGCCUUUGAAACGUGAGCGCUAGCUUACGUGGAGGCGCUGGUGGGAUACUACCCUAGCUGUGUUGGCUUUCUAACCCGCACCACUUAUCGUGGUGGGAGACAGUGUCAGGCGGGCAGUUUGACUGGGGCGGUCGCCUCCUAAAAGGUAACGGAGGCGCUCAAAGGUUCCCUCAGAAUGGUUGGAAAUCAUUCAUAGAGUGUAAAGGCAUAAGGGAGCUUGACUGCGAGACCUACAAGUCGAG